UCAAUAAUUUCACCUGUAAAAGGAAACCACUUGUGUCUGGACUCGCUGCACGGGAAUUACAAGCAGUCUCCAUGAUUUAUUUUAUGUUUCAAAUGUUAAGCGUAAUAUUCUUCAUAUGUGUUCUGUCAUCAGAAGAAUGCUGAUGUUAAAAUGACCAAAAACACCAUUUUCAUCUAAAUGUGUCUUAAAAUCUUAAAAAUGAAACUCCAGAUCUCAAAUAUUUGACUUUCAACAUUUCAUUAAAGAAAAAUUCUAUAAUUUUAUAGGAAAAAAAAUGUGUUUUGACUCUUUCAGCUGCCAAAAAUUCACUUCUGUGACUUAAUUUGUUCCUUCAUGCUAAUAUUUUACUCUAAACUUGCUUCAUAACUCAAAGAAAACUUUUCAUCUUUCAUCCUAAUUUCUGUUACCUUGUAAUUAUUUGAGAAAUGGCUUUUAGUCUUUAUUUUGUAUCUGCAAUAAACUUUUUUGUUUAAUUAUCGUAGGAUGACUGAGAUGAAGACCCCCCCCAAGACAAUUUAUCGAGGUUUUAGACUAAAAACAAAAUCCUGAUCUCAUGCUUUAGUAUUCCUUCAAAAAUACAUAACAGAAGAACUCUGGAAUUGUUUAUCUGCAUUCAUGCAUUUGUUUCUUUUGAUUUUAUUUCAAUCAUUGUAUUAAUUAUAUUGUUAUUUAUAUUUAAUAUUAUCUUCUGCUGCUCAGACUUUGUUCUAGCUCUCUAUUUACAGUAUUCAAUGUUGUCCUGCCUCAUGUUUUGGAUUUCAACGUUCCAGAUGGAAAAUGUUUUAAUCGUUUUGAAUUUUCUCAGCACUAAAACAAACCCUCCCUGGACCACAGCUAAAUCUUUGCUCUGACCGAAUCGGUUGUUCUUCAGAACUCCGGUGGAACCGAUCAUACGUGUGGAGACAGGAUGGACACGUUUGGCUCCAGCUGCUGUAGAACAGAGUCUGCACCCUUUCACAAUAAAGUCGAUCUGUACUGAAAACGACUUACGCCGGCAGGAGGCGGAGCUUACCAUUUCCUGGAGGUCCUGCCGUCUUUCUGCCUCCCCCUGAGGAGCGCCGGCCCGGUCCACUCCUCUGAAGUUCUGCUGCUCCGGUCUGAAGAUCGCCCAUCCCGCCUGGUACCUGCAAACACAAACGCUUUUACUGUCUAACAACCAAAAAUAAAUACAAAUAUGGGAAGACUUUUA
Oryzias melastigma (Indian medaka) is the source of this 1189-nucleotide long non-coding RNA. RefSeq lists it as uncharacterized. NCBI's taxonomy places the organism in Eukaryota, Metazoa, Chordata, Actinopteri, Beloniformes, Adrianichthyidae. The transcript has 2 exons. The record is from RefSeq and is a predicted model, not a curated record.